AUUGAACGCUGGCGGCAGGCCUAACACAUGCAAGUCGAGCGGAUGAAGGGAGCUUGCUCCUGGAUUCAGCGGCGGACGGGUGAGUAAUGCCUAGGAAUCUGCCUGGUAGUGGGGGAUAACGUCCGGAAACGGGCGUUAAUACCGCAUACGUCCUGAGGGAGAAAGUGGGGGAUCUUCGGACCUCACGCUAUCAGAUGAGCCUAGGUCGGAUUAGCUAGUUGGUGGGGUAAAGGCCUACCAAGGCGACGAUCCGUAACUGGUCUGAGAGGAUGAUCAGUCACACUGGAACUGAGACACGGUCCAGACUCCUACGGGAGGCAGCAGUGGGGAAUAUUGGACAAUGGGCGAAAGCCUGAUCCAGCCAUGCCACGUGUGUGAAGAAGGUCUUCGGAUUGUAAAGCACUUUAAGUUGGGAGGAAGGGCAGUAAGUUAAUACCUUGCUGUUUUGACGUUACCAACAGAAUAAGCACCGGCUAACUUCGUG
RNAcentral lists this ribosomal RNA (484 nucleotides) under uncultured bacterium. Its description in RNAcentral is "partial 16S ribosomal RNA". It matches the Rfam family "Bacterial small subunit ribosomal RNA", at positions 30 to 507 of the family's 1533-position model. The record is from RNAcentral.